Molecule: ribosomal RNA, 414 nt
Filed under: uncultured bacterium
Lineage: Bacteria
Description: bacterial SSU rRNA
Rfam family: Bacterial small subunit ribosomal RNA
Source: RNAcentral
CCUACCCUUGACAUGUCAAGAAUUUCGCAGAGAUGUGGAAGUGCUCGAAAGAGAACUUGAACACAGGUGCUGCAUGGCCGUCGUCAGCUCGUGUCGUGAGAUGUUGGGUUAAGUCCCGCAACGAGCGCAACCCUUGUCAUUAGUUGCUACGAAAGGGCACUCUAAUGAGACUGCCGGUGACAAACCGGAGGAAGGUGGGGAUGACGUCAGGUCCUCAUGGCCCUUAUGGGUAGGGCUACACACGUCAUACAAUGGCCGGUACAGAGGGUCGCCAACCCGCGAGGGGGAGCCAAUCCCAGAAAACCGGUCGUAGUCCGGAUCGCAGUCUGCAACUCGACUGCGUGAAGUCGGAAUCGCUAGUAAUCGCGGAUCAGCUUGCCGCGGUGAAUACGUUCCCGGGUCUUGUACACACCG